Exaiptasia diaphana is the source of this 880-nucleotide long non-coding RNA. RefSeq lists it as uncharacterized. Lineage: Eukaryota; Metazoa; Cnidaria; Anthozoa; Actiniaria; Aiptasiidae. The record is from RefSeq and is a predicted model, not a curated record.
UUCCAACGGCUAUUAGCCUACAAAAUUACAYACAAGUCCUUGGUUAACUCUUUCCCUCAAAAAACUACUUCCCUUAGGCUAGCCCUUUGGCUCCACAAAACCAAAAAAACACCUUUUUCACACUUGUUAACCAAAAACUUUUACAGGUUUCUGCAAGGCAAACGUUCUCAACGCUACUUGUGCUACAAUCCUUUCAACAUUCGAAUGAUGGCACAGUCGCUGAUAACUUCASAACCGCACCUUUCUUCGUGCAGUGCUAAUUGCAACCUUCYACGGRCUUCAUGAUGUCCUCAGGUUACCUUGCAGAAACAUGCAAACUGCCGAGGCCAACCUCAGACAGCUGAUGGMCUGCCGAGGUAGACUGGACUAAAUAUUGAUGAUAUGCACAAGUCAAACACUCGCUCUCCCUUGCACCUCAACGCCUUCAAAUGCAUUUACUGUUUACAAAACAUUGCCUUUCCAAACCACUACUAUCUUCCAACAUUACAAGGUAUAAGUACAUAAUUUAUUCAUUUUCUACCUUUCAAAAAAAAUUCUCAUUACAAAAAGGACAAUCACAACAAGCCUCUCUUUCAACUAUGAAUAAACCAUGUCAACAAAGGAGAAAGCUUCACUUUCAAAUGCAUCAUAGUCAGAACACAAGGUCAAAGCACCAUCAAUUGGUCGUGACAACAGGACAAAAAUAUAGCUGACGUGGAAUACUAAUUAUCUGUGUUAUAUGAACAAUUCUAAUGUACUCUUGGGAUCAAAUAUUAGUGGCUUUCUUGUUUGUUUGCAACUCUCUCACUUUGUCCUUUCCUUGUAGAGUUGCUACUACUUAUACAAAUUGGGUUAAUCUAUCCAUUCCCAUCUAAAGAGAAUUAUUUUAUUUCAAUAAAAU